Hippocampus zosterae (dwarf seahorse) is the source of this 301-nucleotide long non-coding RNA. RefSeq lists it as uncharacterized. Lineage: Eukaryota; Metazoa; Chordata; Actinopteri; Syngnathiformes; Syngnathidae. The transcript has 2 exons. The record is from RefSeq and is a predicted model, not a curated record.
UUACUUUGGAAUUUGUUUAGGAUUUAGUUUUCUUUGUUUUAAAUACAAUUCUUCAAAAACACCCUGCUCCUCCCUCAUGCCUGCUUUUUGGGGUCCAACACGAUGCAACGUGACAGACAUUCCGUAAUGUGUACUUCUAGUAAAUGCCUCCAGCAGUUGAAUGUGUUUGCUGCCAUGAAAUUCAAGAAGUAGUGACUACGUCGACAAGGAGAGGAACACUUCAAUCAGGUGCUGGACUGCAUCACUGACCAUCCUGGACUCAAUUCUGUGUGCCUAGACCCAUAUGGAUUGCAGGUGGCAU